This 465-nucleotide ribosomal RNA is filed under the name uncultured bacterium. RNAcentral's name for it is "bacterial SSU rRNA". It matches the Rfam family "Bacterial small subunit ribosomal RNA", at positions 330 to 793 of the family's 1533-position model. The record is from RNAcentral.
UCCAGACUCCUACGGGAGGCAGCAGUGAGGAAUAUUGGUCAAUGGGCGGGAGCCUGAACCAGCCAAGCCGCGUGAAGGAAGAAGGCGCCAGGCGUCGUAAACUUCUUUUGUCGGGGAACAAAGGGCGCCACGCGUGGCGUUGUGAGUGUACCCGAAGAAAAAGCAUCGGCUAACUCCGUGCCAGCAGCCGCGGUAAUACGGAGGACGCGAGCGUUAUCCGGAUUUAUUGGGUUUAAAGGGUGCGUAGGCGGGAUGCCAAGUCAGCGGUAAAAAUGCGGUGCUCAACGCCGUCGAGCCGUUGAAACUGGCGUUCUUGAGUGGGCGAGAAGUAUGCGGAAUGCGUGGUGUAGCGGUGAAAUGCAUAGAUAUCGCGCAGAACUCCGAUUGCGAAGGCAGCAUGCCGGCUCCACACUGACGCUGAGGCACGAAAGCGUGGGUAUCGAACAGGAUUAGAUACCCGUGUAU